This 253-nucleotide ribosomal RNA is filed under the name uncultured bacterium. RNAcentral describes it as "partial 16S ribosomal RNA". It matches the Rfam family "Bacterial small subunit ribosomal RNA", at positions 524 to 776 of the family's 1533-position model. The record is from RNAcentral.
UACGUAGGGUGCAAGCGUUGUCCGGAAUUAUUGGGCGUAAAGGGCUCGUAGGCGGUCCAUCGCGUCGGGAGUGAAAAGCUGGGGCUUAACCCCAGUCCUGCUUUCGAUACGGGUGGACUAGAGGUAGGCAGGGGAGAACGGAAUUCCUGGUGUAGCGGUGAAAUGCGCAGAUAUCAGGAGGAACACCAAAGGCGAAGGCAGUGUCCUGGGGAGUACCUGACGCUCAGGUGCGAAAGCCAGGGGAGCGAACGGG